GCAAACUUAAGGAAAUGAAGAGAGGGUCUAACAUGAAGAUAAGAGUCUUGUUUGGUAGCCAAGGAUGACUUGCCUGCCUGCCUCCUAAUUCCAAGAGGACAGCUCUGGUUAUUUAGGGUUCUCAGGCAGUCUCCUUUGGCUAACUUGACAGUCUCUUCUUUCUCAUGCCAGACCUUUCUCUUCUUUCUUUGUUUGU
Molecule: microRNA precursor, 196 nt
Filed under: Prunus persica (peach)
Lineage: Eukaryota; Viridiplantae; Streptophyta; Magnoliopsida; Rosales; Rosaceae
Source: RNAcentral